GGGCCCAUAGCUCAGCUGGUGAGAGCGCCCGGCUCAUAACCGGGUGGUCCUUGGUUCGAGUCCAAGUGGGCCCA
Molecule: transfer RNA, 74 nt
Filed under: Candidatus Dormiibacterota bacterium
Lineage: Bacteria; Bacillati; Candidatus Dormiibacterota
Also listed under: 6 other names
Description: tRNA-Ile
Rfam family: tRNA
About the family: Transfer RNA (tRNA) molecules are approximately 80 nucleotides in length. Their secondary structure includes four short double-helical elements and three loops (D, anti-codon, and T loops).
Source: RNAcentral